CUCAACUCAAGACAAAGCCCCUAUCACGCCAUCAUCUCCGAACCAAGACAAAGUGCCUAUCAUGCCAUCAUCACCAUUUCAACUCUACUCCAAGCAAUCCUCACUACCUCCACCAAGAGCACCACUCUUCUUCAACUCUCCCUUUUCAAUUGGAGUCGUGUGAUUUUGAGUCUAAAAAACUUUAUGCAACUGCACUGUCC
Molecule: long non-coding RNA, 200 nt
Filed under: Theobroma cacao (cacao)
Lineage: Eukaryota; Viridiplantae; Streptophyta; Magnoliopsida; Malvales; Malvaceae
Description: long non-coding RNA (TCAC_LNC004264)
Source: RNAcentral